RNAcentral lists this ribosomal RNA (225 nucleotides) under uncultured Asaia sp. RNAcentral's name for it is "partial 16S ribosomal RNA". It matches the Rfam family "Bacterial small subunit ribosomal RNA", at positions 568 to 792 of the family's 1533-position model. Lineage: Bacteria; Pseudomonadati; Pseudomonadota; Alphaproteobacteria; Acetobacterales; Acetobacteraceae. The record is from RNAcentral.
CACGUAGGCGGAUCAGAAAGUCAGAGGUGAAAUCCCAGGGCUCAACCUUGGAACUGCAUUUGAUACGUGUAGACUAGAGUGUGAGAGAGGGUUGUGGAAUUCCCAGUGUAGAGGUGAAAUUCGUAGAUAUUGGGAAGAACACCGGUGGCGAAGGCGGCAACCUGGCUCAUUACUGACGCUGAGGCGCGAAAGCGUGGGGAGCAAACAGGAUUAGAUACCCGCGUA